GGCGAUCAGAUACCGCCCUAGUUCUGACCGUAAACGAUGCCAACUAGCGAUCCGCCAGUCGACUCAUCGCUCUGGUGGGGAGCUUCCCGGAAACGAAAGUCUUCCGGUUCCGGGGGAAGUAUGGUUGCAAAGCUGAAACUUAAAGGAAUUGACGGAAGGGCACCACCAGGAGUGGAGCCUGCGGCUUAAUUUGACUCAACACGGGGAAACUCACCCGGCCCGGACACCGUAAGGAUUGACAGAUUGAUAGCUUUUUCAUGAUUCGGUGGAUGGUGGUGCAUGGCCGUUCUUAGUUCGUGGAGCGAUUUGUCUGGUUUAUUCCGAUAACGAGCGAGACUCUGGCCUACUAAAUAGUUGGCACAUUGCCACUGUGUGCACAACUUCUUAGAGGGAUUUUCGGUGUUCAGCCGCACGAAAUUGAGCAAUAACAGGUCUGUGAUGCCCUUAGAUGUCCGGGGCUGCACGCGCGCUACACUGGCAAAAUCAGCGUGCUUGUCCUCCCCCGAAAGGGGUUGGUAAACCGAUGAAAAUUUGCCGUGAUUGGGAUCGGACAUUGCAAUUAUUGUCCGUGAACGAGGAAUCCCUUGUAAGGGCGAGUCAUCAACUCGUCCUGAAUACGCCCCU
This 624-nucleotide ribosomal RNA is filed under the name Rotylenchulus reniformis. RNAcentral's name for it is "SSU rRNA". It matches the Rfam family "Eukaryotic small subunit ribosomal RNA", at positions 1003 to 1654 of the family's 1831-position model. Lineage: Eukaryota; Metazoa; Nematoda; Chromadorea; Rhabditida; Hoplolaimidae. The record is from RNAcentral.